Molecule: unclassified non-coding RNA, 222 nt
Filed under: Ramularia endophylla
Lineage: Eukaryota; Fungi; Ascomycota; Dothideomycetes; Mycosphaerellales; Mycosphaerellaceae
Description: partial internal transcribed spacer region
Rfam family: Eukaryotic small subunit ribosomal RNA (bases 1-46)
Source: RNAcentral
AAGUCGUAACAAGGUCUCCGUAGGUGAACCUGCGGAGGGAUCAUUACUGAGUGAGGAUGAUAAUACAUCCGACCUCCAACCCUUUGUGAACACAUCUUGUUGCUUCGGGGGCGACCCUGCCGUUCGCGGCAUUCCCCCCGGAGGUCAUCAAAACACUGCAUUCUUACGUCGGAGUAAAAAGUUAAUUUAAUAAAACUUUCAACAACGGAUCUCUUGGUUCUG